AUCCAUUCACGAUCUGAGGGUUUCAUGGAGGUGUUUCUGCAGACGGUGGAUCCAUUCACGAUCUGAGGGUUUCAUGGAGGUGUUUCUGCAACAUCUCAGUUUCUCUUCACUUAUUGGUUUGCUGGAAACCAAAGCUAAGUUCUGUCAAAGAUUUUGGCCAAAAUGUGACAAUUUCACAUUUUCAGAAGUUGGAAAUUUUGGAUUAUCAUCUUCGAAAUCUCUCGUGAAGCCAUUUUAAGGGUUCAGUAUCUCCAGAAGUUAAACUCCUACAGCCAUGAAAAGUGGUGAGGACUCAGACGGGAUAGUUUCCAUCAGAUCACAAUGAUUGAAUGGAUCCAGACAAGGACAAUUUUUUAAAUAACUGGCUCUUAAACAUGGAACAAAGUGCAAACUUUUCAAUCCAGACUAAUAAUUUGUCUCCAAAAAGUUCCUGUAAGACUAUAUCUGUGGAUGGAUCCAUAUUUCUACUAAAAUGCAUUCUUUGGUCGACAUUUCUCCAACUGUUGAGGCUCUAACAUCAGUAGAUUCUGAUGUGGAGAAAGUUGAAUCAGACAAGGUUCCAGUUUUUUUGCUAUUUUGACCUAAAUAAUGUUCAAAAAUGAGUACAAAGUGUCCCAAACAACUUGAAAUUUAUCCAAAAUUACCCAGAAAUUGUCCAAAAUGGCAAAGAAUGAAAAUAUUGAGCAAUUAUUGGAUCUUGAAAAUGGGGGAAAAGAUGGUAAGUUUGGUAAGACAAGGUUCUCAUUUUUGCAGGUUUGACGUGAAACAUGCCUAAAUUGAGUAGAAAUUAUCCCAAAUAACUUGAAAGUCAUCAAGAAUGUCCCAGGAAACUUAUUAUUUGUCCAGAAUGACUUCAAAAUGGUCCAAAAUGUCAAUAAUGAAUAACUAUUGGACCUUGAAAAUGGAAAAAAAGAGAAAGCAACAUGUUUAGCAGAGGUUGACUUUGACUGCUCUCCUGACUUAUUGAUUCGAACUUGGAUUAGAUCCACAACCAACCAGUUCCCCAGGAAUAACUUCAAAUGGACAUUUUAUUUUCUCAAUUUAUUGGGCCCAUAGGUAUUACACUGUACCGUUGUUGUGUACUGUUGAAAUAGAUUUCUAAAACUAAAAGUUUACAAUACCAA
Long non-coding RNA from Acanthochromis polyacanthus (spiny chromis), 1124 nucleotides. RefSeq lists it as uncharacterized. The transcript is spliced from 2 exons. The record is from RefSeq and is a predicted model, not a curated record. Lineage: Eukaryota; Metazoa; Chordata; Actinopteri; Pomacentridae.